This 495-nucleotide ribosomal RNA is filed under the name uncultured bacterium. RNAcentral's name for it is "bacterial SSU rRNA". It matches the Rfam family "Bacterial small subunit ribosomal RNA", at positions 28 to 509 of the family's 1533-position model. The record is from RNAcentral.
GACGAACGCUGGCGGUGUGCUUAACACAUGCAAGUCGUGCGACGAACCAGACUUCGGUCUGGGGCAAAGCGGCGAACGGGUGAGUAACACGUGGGUAAUCUGCCCCGAUGACUGGGACAACCCAAGGAAACUCGGGCUAAUAUCGGAUGUGGUGCCUGGACUCAAGUCCGGUCACUAAAGGUAGCUUCGGCUUCCGCAUUGGGAGGGGCCCGCGGCCCAUUAGCUUGUUGGUGGGGUCAAGGCCUACCAAGGCAACGAUGGGUAGCUGGUCUGAGAGGACGAUCAGCCACACUGGGACUGAGACACGGCCCAGACUCCUACGGGAGGCAGCAGUGGGGAAUCUUGCGCAAUGCGCGAAAGCGUGACGCAGCAACACCGCGUGAGGGAAGACGGCCUUAGGGUUGUAAACCUCUUUCAGAUGGGACGAAGGUGAUGCGGUGAAUAGCCGAUGUCAUUGACGGUACCGUCAGAAGAAGCUCCGGCUAACUACGUGCC